Molecule: transfer RNA, 65 nt
Filed under: Trachys auricollis
Lineage: Eukaryota; Metazoa; Arthropoda; Insecta; Coleoptera; Buprestidae
Description: tRNA-Ala
Source: RNAcentral
UAGGAUAAUAGUUAUUAAUAACAUUUAAUUUGCACUUAGAAAGUACUGAAAUCAGUUUAUCUUAA